CAGGUGAAGACACACGGAUCCCCCUUCGUCCUCUGGGAUCUGGCAGGAUUUGGACGAGGAUGACCUGCCCCUCCCCCAUACCGGAUGAUGACGCACCCUCCGGCCCAGUGCUCCACCAGGACCAGAGGCUGCCUUAAUGCCCAAUCCAGGGCCAGGUGAAGUUCCUGCAGCAGCCAUUCCUCCUCCACCAGCUCUCCUGGAGGUCUUAGAGCCGCCACCUCAGCAGGCUCCAAUCCUGGUGGCAGAAGCCUCUGGCCAGCACUUCCAGGAUCUGGCUCCAGCCGAACCGCCCAAGCUAUACCCACCUCUCCCGAUCUCAAGGACGUCUUCUUCUGCAUACACCUUGUCCCAGCAUCACAGCCCAUCUUUGCCUUUGAAUGGGAAGAUCCAGUCGGGGGCAUCAAACAACAGCUCACCUGGACUCCCCCACAAGGGUUUAAGAAUUCCCCAACCAUCUUUGGGGAAGCCUUGGCUUCUGACCUGGACUCAUUCCACCCGGAAAAGUACAGAUGUUGGCUCCUACAAUACAUGGAUGACCUGCUGCUGGUUGCCGAGACCAGGGAAAAAUGCUGGAAAGGGACAAAAGCACUGCUCCAGCUGCUGAUGGAAGCAGGUUACUGGGUGUCGAAGAAGAAGGCACAGAUCUGCAAAGAGUUAAAGUUACAGGUAUUGCCCCUUGGAUCCAUCAUACGAGGAUGAAGAGAGCAUACCACGCAGACCCAGAAAACGCUGAGUGGACUGCACAGAGGGACCCCGCUGACCCUCGAGAGACUAAGACCAUCCUUAAGAAGAAGGAAAAGAAGAUCCCGGAGCCCCUUGAGGAUGAAGCCACAUAAACAACUCCUGCUGCUUGGUCUCAUCAACAUGCACAUUCCUACGCCAACUUCCACAAUUCCUCCAACUGUUGGAACCACCAUCAACACACAGACCAGAGUGUGAACUUCUUGAGCAAAAGAGACACCCCUUUUGAUUGGAGAGUUGAGGAAGCUUCCUGGAAGAGGUGUCUUGUCAGCUGACCCUGAAUUGUUGGAUUGGGUUUCUGAUGGUCAGAAAUCCUGGAGCAGCUUAAAACAAAAUAUGAUCGACACCCAUGGGUCCACCAAUCACUCAAGAACCAGAACGUCAUAUGUCCCCUUUCAUCUACUUUCUUCCUCCCUAGGUUGGUGAAUGGAGAGCUGCGGAGAGUGGCACUUGGAGAGAGCAUGGAAGUUUGGUUCCCUUCUCCCAGGCCUUCCUUGCCCUAUGCAUCUCUUCCACCUGGCUAUUCCUGAGUUUAUAUCUGAGAAAUGGAAUAUCUCCUGCCAUAUCAGUAAACAGGACAGAGUUGGACUAUAAAGAAGGCUGAGCACUGAAGAACUGAUGCUUCCAAACUGUGGUGCUGGAGAAGACUCUUGAGAGUCCCUUGGUCAGCAAGGUAAUCAAACUAGUCAAUUCUAAAGGAAAUCAAUCCUAAAUAUUCAUUGGAAGGACUGAUGCUGAUGCUGAAGCUCCAAUACUUUGGCCACCUGAUGCAAACAGCCGACUCCUUGGAAAAGACCAUGAUGCUGGUAAAGACUGAAGGCAGGAGGAGAAGGAUGAUAGAGGAUGAGAUGGUUGGAUGGCAUCACUGACUCAAUGGACAUGGUUUUGAGGAAAUUCUGGGAGAGCGUGAAGGACAGGGAGGCCAGGCAUGCUGCAGUCCAUGGGUUCACAAAAAGUCAGACACAUGCAGUAAACAAGGGUGUCAGAGUCAUCAGUGAUUGCAGCUCUCCAAUGUGAGCCAGUGAACUGCGAGGGAACUCAGGAAUGAGAAGAAUAUCUGCCAUCCAGCCUUCAAGAUGACACUCCUUCAAGAUGAUAACGCUCCUUUGCUCUGGGAGCAUUCUUCAUUCCGAAGGAAUGUCACAGGACAGGGACUGCCAGAACCUGGAAUCACCGCGAUCAAACUUGUCACUGUCUUCCCCAAGUGGGGACACGUGGUUUUGAGGGUAUUAGUUCACUGUGUCCCCCUUUGCCUGGCAAAGCAAUAAAGCUACCCAUUUUUUCUUCAC
Long non-coding RNA from Bos taurus (domestic cattle), 2030 nucleotides. The record is from Ensembl. Lineage: Eukaryota; Metazoa; Chordata; Mammalia; Artiodactyla; Bovidae.